UAUCUACUCCCUCCGUCCAGAAAUACUUGUCACCAAAUGAAUAAAAGGGAUGUAUCUAGAUGUAUUUUAGUUCUAGAUACAUUCAUUUUUGUUCAUUUUGAUGACAAGUAUUUUCGACGGAGGGAGUAUCUA
This is a non-coding RNA of Triticum aestivum (bread wheat), 132 nucleotides long. The record is from Rfam. NCBI's taxonomy places the organism in Eukaryota, Viridiplantae, Streptophyta, Magnoliopsida, Poales, Poaceae.